AACAAAUGCUACAACUACGUGAAGACAUUGCAAAUGCACUUUGGGCAAUUAUAAUAAUUGAUAGUGUACUCAAUUUUAUUUGUAAU
Ipomoea nil (Japanese morning glory) is the source of this 86-nucleotide long non-coding RNA. RefSeq lists it as uncharacterized. NCBI's taxonomy places the organism in Eukaryota, Viridiplantae, Streptophyta, Magnoliopsida, Solanales, Convolvulaceae. The transcript is spliced from 4 exons. The record is from RefSeq and is a predicted model, not a curated record.